CUGAAAUAAGUUUUAGGACUCACUCUGUAUUUC
Molecule: small RNA, 33 nt
Filed under: Bombyx mori (domestic silkworm)
Lineage: Eukaryota; Metazoa; Arthropoda; Insecta; Lepidoptera; Bombycidae
Description: ovarian small RNA-14754
Source: RNAcentral